This 217-nucleotide ribosomal RNA is filed under the name uncultured Pediococcus sp. RNAcentral's name for it is "partial 16S ribosomal RNA". It matches the Rfam family "Bacterial small subunit ribosomal RNA", at positions 332 to 527 of the family's 1533-position model. Lineage: Bacteria; Bacillati; Bacillota; Bacilli; Lactobacillales; Lactobacillaceae. The record is from RNAcentral.
CUAAUUCUUACGGGAGCCACCAGUGGGGAUUUUUCCCCAAUGGGGGCAAGCCUGAUGGAGCAACGCCGCGUGAGUGAAGAAGGGUUUCGGCUCGUAAAGUUCUGUUGUUGAGAGAAGAACGUGGGUGAGGAGUAACUGGUCAACCACAGUGACGGUACUUCAGAAUCCCGGUCCCCAAAGGGGCGGGUAACUACCUGGCAGCCACCGCGGUAAUAAA